UUUAUACAUUUAUUAAAUAUAUUUAUUUACUAUUUAAUGCAAAAACAAAUAAAUAAAUUGAAAAUUUAAAGUGUUAGACCUGGUUCUACUGUUUAGCCUUGUAAUUUAUUUAGUUUUUAAUUAAUUUAUUUUAAAAAAUGUUCCAUUUUUGUAUUUUUAUAAAAGGUUGAUGUUGUUUUAUUAAACCAAAUGCAUAUAACAGUUAUUGUACCUCAAACUGUAAACAAUUCCAACCAAUUUUCAACCACACACCCUCCAAAGGCAUCAAAAUCUGACAUUAAAAAACCCCAAAUGUGCAAAAUGAUUGACCUGCAGAAAGUGUUUUGGAUUUGCUAGAAGAAGCAUGACCGGGCCACAAUAUUUAUUUAUUAAUAUAUUUUAUAUUUACAUAAUUUUUUCUAAUUCCAGGCAGUCAGAGGUUUUUUAGGACACCUAUUUUAGUGAUAUCUGACAGAUGGAGACUUUCUUAAUGCAUGCAAUAAAAUAUAAUUUUAAUGUAUGCAAUAAAAAAACCUCAUGCAUCAUUUUGAAUAAUCAUUUAAGUUAACCUGAUUUAACCAUUUAAGUUUGACCUGAAAUUUCUGAAAUUUUUACAUGAAGUUCACUUGAGAUUUUAAAUGAUUGUUUUAAUAAUUUAAUAACACCUUCAGGUAUUUGCAGUUCUUUGCACCACUUUGUGAACCCAUAAUUUAACAUAUAAAUCUGUAUUUGUUAUGCAGAGUUAUCUGUGUAAUGAAAUUUCUUCACAUUUACACUCACAUCUUGUUUCCUUUCUGUGUAGAUCAUCCCUGUAGAGAAGCUCGUCAAGGGACGGUUUCAAGACAACCUGGACUUCAUUCAGUGGUUCAAGAAGUUCUUCGACGCCAACUACGACGGGAAGGAGUACGACCCGGUGCAGGCCAGACAGGGCCAGGACGCCAUUCCCCCUCCAGAUCCCGGCGAGCAGAUCUUCAACCUGCCAAAGAAAUCCCACCAUGCCGCCAGCUCUCCCACCGCAGGAGCUACUA
Molecule: long non-coding RNA, 1007 nt
Organism: Cyprinus carpio (common carp)
Lineage: Eukaryota; Metazoa; Chordata; Actinopteri; Cypriniformes; Cyprinidae
Source: Ensembl